AGCAUAGUUUAUAGAUAAUGCAAGCAUUCGAAAGAAAUUAACAGUUCAUAACUGAAUUUUUUGUCACAUGAACUUAGCGAUAUGACAGAGAUGAACCAGCAAAGGCGUAACGAGAUGAAACAGGCCUUGACAAAUUUUCUGGUUGGACUGCUUGGCGUGCCUGGUUAUAAUCUGAUGGCGGAUCAACAGCAUACUUCAAGUACAAAUUAUCCACUUCAUCAGUAUCUCUCCUACGCAAAUGAUCAGCAUCAGCUAAGUAAGUCUCCCUCCUACCAUUAACAUUAUAGGCACCUGAUGAAAUUUCCUCCCUCCUUGGAGGCAGCAGAUAUGCAUUUACAGAUGGAGCACCAUAUCGGUAAGAAUAAGAUGGAUCCCUUGAAUAGGAGUCCAACGCAGGAACAGCAGAACUAGAUGCUGCCACAGGUGGCAAUUCACUUCUACCACCAAGAUUGUAAGUCUGUAACUCUCUCUGGCUCAAGUAAUGGGGAUCAGCAAGAAAUGAUUCUCUAUGCAAAGGAAUAGUAUCACUGUUGUAUAGAGGGGCUGGCUGUCUGAGAAGGUGCUCUCCUUCCAGAUCCCUCUUGUAAGGGCCUAGAGUACCAGCCGCACCAUGUGGAGAGGUCAUGUUUCUUCUCUCUCUCUGAAGACCAUAUGUACGAUACUCCUUUUCACUCAUGUAUAAAUCACGUGGAGCUUCCUCUCUAUACGAUGAUACCAACUCCCUGAGCUCAAUAUGCUGAUCCCUUUCACGAGAGACAACAGGAUAACUUCUACCAUCACCGUUGACUCUGGUAAAUGUUUCCCUGUCUGAAUGGGGCCGUGACUCUCUUACACCCUCAUAGG
Molecule: unclassified non-coding RNA, 843 nt
Filed under: Hevea brasiliensis (rubber tree)
Lineage: Eukaryota; Viridiplantae; Streptophyta; Magnoliopsida; Malpighiales; Euphorbiaceae
Source: RNAcentral